This 777-nucleotide ribosomal RNA is filed under the name uncultured Neocallimastigales. RNAcentral describes it as "partial large subunit ribosomal RNA". It matches the Rfam family "Eukaryotic large subunit ribosomal RNA", at positions 24 to 637 of the family's 3401-position model. The record is from RNAcentral. Lineage: Eukaryota; Fungi; Neocallimastigomycota; Neocallimastigomycetes; Neocallimastigales.
GGUAGUCUCGCACAGAUGCAUAUCAAUAAGCGGAGGAAAAGAAACUAACAAGGAUUCCCCUAGUAACGGCGAGUGAAGCGGGAAGAGCUCAAAUUUGAAAUCUUAAAGGGUUUCCCUUUACGAAUUGUAGUUUAAAGAAGUGUUCUCUGUUGAGGUUUUGGUAAAAGUUCUUUGGAAUAGGACAGUCAUAGAGGGUGAGAAUCCCGUAUUUGACCUUUACUUUCAACUUUGUGAUACACUUUCAAAGAGUCGGAUUGUUUGGGAAUGCAGUCCAAAAUGGGUGGUAAAUUUCAUCUAAAGCUAAAUAUUGGCGAGAGACCGAUAGCGAACAAGUACCGUGAGGGAAAGAUGAAAAGAACUUUGAAAAGAGAGUUAAACAGUACGUGAAAUUGUCAAAAGGGAAGCGUUUGACACCAGUGUUGUUUUUCUGAAAAUCAAUUAAAGAACUGUUUAUGCUAAGUUGUUUAGACUUUAUCAGCUAACUGUUUAGUUUUGAGCUUUUCUUUAAUGCACUUUUCAGUUAACAAGUCAACAUCAAUUUCUUUUGCUGUAAAAAAGCUUGAGGAAGGUGGCUUGAGAUUCGUCUUAAGUGUUUAUAGCCUCUUGCCUAGUGCAGUCGGAGAGAUUGAGGUCUGCAGCGUAGAUCCUUCGGGGCUAAAUGCAUUUGUGCUAAGUUAUAGCAUUUCAUAGACAACUUGUUGACUAUGAUUUGUCUUGUAGCUUACUCGCUUAUGUUAUUUUACCUACGCUUAGGAUGUUGACAGCAGUAUAGACUGU